This is a non-coding RNA of Paramuricea clavata, 921 nucleotides long. The record is from the annotation of a GenBank genome assembly. NCBI's taxonomy places the organism in Eukaryota, Metazoa, Cnidaria, Anthozoa, Malacalcyonacea, Plexauridae.
UUUUCCCAGUACCAUUUUAUAGUCCAAUCGUGUACCACUUACCUAUCGAUCCGCUUUGCCGUUUAGCAGCAUCUGGAGACGUUUGGUCUUUAUGGAACUGUGAAUCUUGUUCUUGGCGUGCUUGGGAGCGCGUUUCGCAUCGAUCCUUGUAAAAAUGAAUAAACAUAAAAUAACAAAUUGGGUAUGAGACAAAAAGCACGAGUUCAGAACGCCUCCACUUACCAAAAGUUGGAAACAAAAAUGGACAUUAAAAUCAGAGUGAUUACUGCUCGCUUCGACAUCUUCAAAGUCCUGUUCUCUUCGUAUCCUUUGAUGAAAUAACAACCCAAAAUAUUUCAUGUACCUUAAAAUAUGUGUAGCUGUCAACGUUUUCACGAGGUCAGCAAACAAACCUCCGAAAUAUAGGAAGCAGGUUGACACGCAUAGAAAAAUACUUUGGAAUUUACCGCAAACAGGACGCCAGGCCACGCCAAAAUUUGGAAUUUAAUUUAGGACUUGCGCACAAAAUAUGCAACAAAUUAUGAACGAAAAUUGAGCUCUCGCAAGUGAUUUCAACACAGCUCGCUCGAGUCCCUCGCUUUAAUUCACGCCUCGGUUAAUACUCCGAGUCUGACAGAUACCAGAUUUCAUAAAGGAACCACAAGCUACAAACAAAAUGGACCUCAUUCUAUUUUUAUUUAAAGUUUCCGGUGCGAUAGGUUCGAAGCCCAAACAUUUUGUGUCCCAUGAACAAUUUGACCGUUCUGACCUGUCCGGCCGUAGUGUUAAUGGGAACGCCCUAGGAAUUUUUCAGACCACUAACUAUGUUUUGAUUAUUUUCUAUAAACUUAAGCCGGUUACAGACGAGCAAGUUUUCUAUGACAAGUUUUUAUGUGACAAGUUUUAUUUGCUCGUCUGUACGCGCAACUUUGACAAUUUUUU